GGUCGAUCGAGAGCACGAGGGCCCGGGCCAAGAAACGACAAGUCUUGCCGGAUUUCAUGAAGCCAGCCCCAGAGCUCUUGGAGUUGGAAGCUGCGCUGGCUCAGUGGCGUGCUCGCCAGGCCAGUCACCGCGAGGAGGCCGCUGCUAAGUGGGAGGGAUUGGCGAGCAAGGGCGCAAAGUUGACAUGCUGGCCCUCGGGGAGACAUUGGCCUGAUCCAGAUUGGGGCUCACGAGCCGCCAGCACAGCUGAGAGCUGGCGAUUACUGAAAGAG
Molecule: non-coding RNA, 272 nt
Filed under: Scrippsiella trochoidea
Lineage: Eukaryota; Dinophyceae; Peridiniales; Peridiniaceae
Source: RNAcentral